Molecule: long non-coding RNA, 374 nt
Organism: Cuculus canorus (common cuckoo)
Lineage: Eukaryota; Metazoa; Chordata; Aves; Cuculiformes; Cuculidae
Exons: 3
Source: RefSeq, a predicted model, not a curated record
CCGAUCCCGAUUCCCAAAGCCACCUGCUGAUCUCCUCGGCGCCCAUGUGGAGGAGGAGAUCGGUGGAGGUGAGGCCGAAAACAACGCCGUCGAUAUCCAGAGUGCACGGAUCCGAAACAAAGUGCACGCGCUGCCGGGUUUGGUUACCGGUUUGUCGUCCUUGGGGAGCUCCGGGCAGAGGAACGGCGGCUGCGGGUAUACAAAGUCGUGGUGGACGUCCCGCAGCGAGGGCACAAAGACCAGGCAGAGCUUGAAGACCUCGGCGAAGGAUCCCAGGAGUUGGCAGUUCUGGGAAUUGAGGGAAAACGAGGAGAUUUGCUCAAUUCCCGCUUAGCUGAGGUGAACGGGAAGGACUCCGCGACCUCCUCAAGGUU